GAUGAAGAACGUAGUGAAAUGCGAUACGUAAUGUGAAUUGCAGAAUUCAGUGAAUCAUCGAGUCUUUGAACGCACAUUGCGCCCCCUGGUAUUCCGGGGGGCAUGCCUGUCCGAGCGUCAUUGCUGCCCUCAAGCACGGCUUGUGUGUUGGGCCUCCGCCCCCCGGCUCCCGGGGGGCGGGCCCGAAAGGCAGCGGCGGCACCGCGUCCGGUCCUCGAGCGUAUGGGGCUUCGUCACCCGCUCCGUAGGCCCGGCCGGCGCCCGCCGGCGACCCCCCUCAAUCUUUCCAGGUUGACCUCGGAUCAGGUAGGAAUACCCGCUGAACUUAAGCAUAUCAAUAAGCGGAGGA
Molecule: unclassified non-coding RNA, 349 nt
Filed under: soil metagenome
Description: partial contains 5.8S ribosomal RNA, internal transcribed spacer 2, and large subunit ribosomal RNA
Rfam family: 5.8S ribosomal RNA (bases 1-120)
Source: RNAcentral